UGACUUUGAGAGUGUUGAUAGAU
RNAcentral lists this unclassified non-coding RNA (23 nucleotides) under Dictyostelium discoideum. The record is from RNAcentral. Lineage: Eukaryota; Evosea; Eumycetozoa; Dictyosteliales; Dictyosteliaceae.